RNAcentral lists this ribosomal RNA (412 nucleotides) under uncultured bacterium. RNAcentral's name for it is "bacterial SSU rRNA". It matches the Rfam family "Bacterial small subunit ribosomal RNA", at positions 362 to 773 of the family's 1533-position model. The record is from RNAcentral.
UAUUGCUCAAUGGGAGAAAUCCUGAAGCAGCAACGCCGCGUGGAGGAUGAAGGGUCUAUGACUUGUAAACUCCUGUAAAGAAGGAAAAAAUUCCCAUUAGAUGGGAGAUGAUGGUACUUCUGGAGUAAGCCCCGGCUAACUACGUGCCAGCAGCCGCGGGAAUACGUAGGGGUCAAGCGUUGUCCGGAUUUACUGGGUGUAAAGGGUGCUCAGGCGGAGUGGUAAGUCAGAGGUGAAAUCUUACAGCGUAACUGUGAAACUGCCUUGUAUACUGGAAGCCUAGAGUAUGGAAGAGAGGGGUGGAAGAUCUGGUGGAGAAGUGAAAUGCGUAAAUAUCAGAGAGAACACCGAUGGUGAAGGCAGUCAUUUGGUCCAUGACUGCCCCGAAAGCACGAAAGCGUGGGUAGCAAAC